GAUGAACGCUGGCGGCGUGCCUAAUACAUGCAAGUCGAGCGAACGGACGAGAAGCUUGCUUCUCUGAUGUUAGCGGCGGACGGGUGAGUAACGCGUGGAUAACCUACCUAUAAGACUGGGAUAACUUCGGGAAACCGGAGCUAAUACCGGAUGAUAUUUUGAACCGCAUGGUUCAAAAGUGAAAGACGGUCUUGCUGUCACUUAUAGAUGGAUCCGCGCUGCAUUAGCUAGUUGGUAAGGUAACGGCUUACCAAGGCAACGAUGCAUAGCCGACCUGAGAGGGUGAUCGGCCACCCUGGAACUGAGACACGGUCCAGACUCCUACGGGAGGCAGCAGUAGGGAAUCUUCCGCAAUGGGCGAAAGCCUGACGGAGCAACGCCGCGUGAGUGAUGAAGGUCUUCGGAUCGUAAAACUCUGUUAUUAGGGAAGAACAUAUGUGUAAGUAACUGUGCACAUCUUGACGGUACCUAAUCAGAAAGCCACGGCUAACUACGUG
RNAcentral lists this ribosomal RNA (497 nucleotides) under uncultured bacterium. RNAcentral describes it as "partial 16S ribosomal RNA". It matches the Rfam family "Bacterial small subunit ribosomal RNA", at positions 28 to 507 of the family's 1533-position model. The record is from RNAcentral.